Long non-coding RNA from Catharus ustulatus (Swainson's thrush), 1870 nucleotides. RefSeq lists it as uncharacterized. The record is from RefSeq and is a predicted model, not a curated record. NCBI's taxonomy places the organism in Eukaryota, Metazoa, Chordata, Aves, Passeriformes, Turdidae. The transcript is spliced from 2 exons.
CCCGCUGUCCUGUCCCCAGCUCUCUGUCCUGUCCCCAGCUCUCUGUCCGGUCCCGCUCAUCUCGCCUGGCUCCCCAGGCUCGCUGCCCGUAGCCGAAAUCACCAGAAGCCAUUCCCCCUUGUCGUGGCACUUGUAAACAUCCUUCUCUCCAUCCUUCUCUCCAUCCUUCUCUCCAUCCUUCUCUCCAUCCUUCUCUCCAUCCUUCUCUCCAUCCUUCUCUCCAUCCUUCUCUCCAUCCUUCUCUCCAUCCUUCUAGCAGGCCCCCUCCCGGCACCGGAACGCCCCGAUAAAUUCACCACAAAGCUUUUUAUUCUCCAUGCGGGCCAGUCCCAGCUCUGUCACCCUUUCCUCACGGCACAGACGCUCCGUCCCUCAAACCAUCCCCAGGGCCUCCUCUGGACUUGCUGUGACAGCCCGAUGUGCUGGCAGGGCUGGGCAACUCUGCAGGUGGGGUCUCACCUGAGCGGGGCAGGAUCCCCCUCCCCUGCUGCCCGGGGAUCAGGGCAGGUUCUGGCUCCUGAGCUCUCCCCACCAGCACCCAGCUCCUGCUCAUCCCCCAGGCUGCCCUGGUACCGUGCUGGCCCCAGUCCAGGGGUGGCACCAGCACAUGGCCUUGCUAAACCCGUGAGAAUGUUGGGCUGGAACAGGCUCCUGACUUGGGUUUUCGUGGCUUGCUGAACUGGAGUGUCUCGUGACAUGGCUAAUGAGAACAUCCCUCAGGAAUAACUCUCAGUGCCAGCAGACCACGUCAGAAACGCCACGGCAAGGACAGCCCUGGAGCCAGCAGCCCACAGCUGUUACACCUCCAUGGUCCCUGCGGUGCUGGUUCCCAGGUUUUCACUUUAAAUUGAUGCUGUUUUCUUCCCCAGCACGUUUUGAGGUGGGUGCGUCAGUCACUGCUCCUCAGUAACGCGUGCGAGGCAGUCAUUAUUUCAAGGGAAGUUGUAAGAGGAUUACAAUGGAAGGGUAUCAUUUAAGAACAGUUUUCCAAUGGCAAAGAAUAGUUCUCAAAGAAUAUUUCUUUGAAAACUCAGAAAGAAUUUGCUCUCAAAUAAAAAGAUAGAACACUUUUAUACAAGACAGUAAUUUUAGCUUUGUUUGGGUAUAGGUUUGUGUUUAAAUACACUGUGAAUCUGAAUUAUCAGCUUUCCUCCUUCCUUUCUCCUGCCUUUACAUUCUGUAGGAAAAGGAUGAAAGAUGCCAUCAAACAGCUCCAGUCAGUUGUCAUUUCUUUCUCAUUCUCCACUGGUAUUUGGGCAAUGAAAUCCAGAGCACAGAGUCAAAGUCUUUUCCCAAUAAAUUUUCAAGAUGUAGUAUAGGAAAAGGAUUAGGACUUAGAGAUAUGUUUGUCCUCAUGCCAGAGGGAGGUUUUAUUCCACUCCAUCUCCUAAUUCUUUUCCCUGUGCAGAGACAGACAGUGCAACACAGGUUUGUUCAAUUCAUUCUUCAUUGAGCAGGUUGUGAAUGCUUUUACCUUCCAAACAGAAGUCAAAUAGGAGACAAAUAACAGAUCUUAACUUGAAAAGAGUCUCCCUUUCUGUUCCUUGGGCACUGGUGGCUGACACCAGUUUGAAACCAGUGAGGAGCGAGCAGUGCAAGGUGUGGAUCCCUCAGCCACAGCUGCGUGUCAGAGCGCCAGCACAGCUCAGUGACAGCCCCAGACACCCGAGGACAAGGGCCAGCCAUCACCACUGCCAGUCCUGCAGGAGGGAACAAGGAAAAUCCACAACCUGCUCUGCAGUGGUCCAGUGUAGGAAAGGGAAAUGGAGAGAAAAUUCUGCCUUCUUACAUAUCCCGGUCUCCAGGGAAACAGAGAACCACUUUGUGUUUGAAAUGAGGGAGUUUAAAUAAAAGCUGACUUUCACAGUAA